Molecule: long non-coding RNA, 4286 nt
Filed under: Triticum aestivum (bread wheat)
Lineage: Eukaryota; Viridiplantae; Streptophyta; Magnoliopsida; Poales; Poaceae
Description: long non-coding RNA (TAES_LNC016473)
Source: RNAcentral
ACAUGCUUCCCAAACCAUAUACAAAGACAGGCAAUAGUAGAAACCUGAUAUCACAAAUGAUAAUAUCCUUUGUAGGUACAACUUUAUUCCAUGUUUGUGGCUGGAACAUGUGUACAUCAGAAACUUUAACUACAAUAUGGUAAACAUCUCCACGACCAAGCAAGAAAUCAGAAAUAGAACAGCGGACAUCUUAAGUAAAGCAAGCACCGGCCAAUUACAUAUAAGUCUGUAUUAAUCCUCAGCACUGUCCAUGACGAAGAGGGUACAUAGGGUAGCAUACAGACUGCAACAUCUGCUUGUCCUUCGACAACAUCACAACAUUAACUAACCACAUGGGUCAAACACAUAAAUAAAUAAAUGUCGGACAAUAUGGUGCAACAGAAUCGGAGCUAGCAGAGACACGGGAAACUGCCUUAGAACAUCCAAAGAGACGCCCCCAUAGCCACACAUCAUUACUUCGUGCAUCCACAAACAAAAGGAUAGGGUCCUGCAUAUAUAUAGAUAGAUAGAUUUGCAAGCCCAGAUCAGCAGGAUGUCGGAGUCAUUUCUGAUGCAUAAUAAGGUUCAUGAUAUUUAAACAGUGAUAAUGGUAGACUUUGCAUAACAUGACAACGCAUCAUAUCUCAUAAUUAGAAUACAUUAUAUUACUGAAAAAUGAACUGAGGUGACCAAUUGGAAUACUCCCAUUUAGGUGACCACAUUCCAUAGUUUAAAUUCAAAAAUUAGGCUUCUCCCUAAAGCAUACACUCAGAUAGGGUGCAUUGAAAAAGAGUCUGGAUGAAACACAGGGGCAUACCUUCGAUGUUUCAUUGCGCAUCUCAAUAGAGACAUUAUUAUCUUAUGGACCUCGUUAAAAUCAAUGAUCUUAUUAGUUGCAACUAUAAUUAUAUGAAACUGGUGCCUGCAACGAAAAAUGACAAACCAUGAUGUAUCAGAAAUGAAUUAAGCAGCUAGUUGCAGCACGACAUACCCAACUUCUCACCUCUGUCUUGCCUCCACCGACCAGUUAGAAUUUUUUUUCUUCAUUUAUCAAUACACAUAGUGACACACCAACGCCUUGACUAUGCUCUAGCUAUCACAAUGGUUUACAAAAUUCUAGAUUUGUAUUCAAACAAAUGAACUAUAUAAUGAGUCAUGAUAUGUGGGUGAGCCUUGCUUCUGUUCGGUUGUAAUUAUAGGGAGCAUGCUAGGUUGGGAGUCUAGCUUCUCUCUGUGUGUAAAGAUAGUGUGUCAAGAGAGCCUUGCUUUUGUUCGGUUACAACUUUAGCAAGCUUUCUAUAGAGAAAGUUUAAUGAGAACACUUAGAUAGCAAGUAAGCCAUGUGAGAUUAAAAAAAGCACGGACACCAGCAGGAGAACUAAAAUAUUCCAGUUUCAUAAAAUGCAUCUCCUUUGUACCUCUUAUGAUUAGAGGAAAGGCCAUAAGGGAAGAACCUAAAGUUACCAUAGAAUUUAUACAUACAUGUAAUUACAGCAGCAGGGCGCUAUGCUAUUGGUGGUAUCCUUUUUAUAUAUAUCCUCACUGGUUAGCUGACAUAAGAAAAGGAAAAGAUCAGAAGGGUAUAACAGUUAUGAAGCUAUACCAGUUAUUAAACAAUGUGCCAGGCUCACAGGGAAAAAUUCAGCGAGUUUUCCUAGGAGUAAUACAAAGAAAAACCUGAAACUGAAAAUAUACACUCAUAAGAGUGGCCGAAGUAAGUUUUCCGCAUAACACAGCGAAUGCAAUUUCAUAAGAGGUAGCAAAACCAUGUAAUGCAAAUAGUCUGUGUUUUUUUGGGAUGUAUAGAGCAAAACGAUUCAAUAACCCAAGGGGAAUAUUAUGUUGCAGCGAAUAUAUCAAGCUGGGUUAUAAUGCAUAAAAGGAUGACAACAGACAAUAGUGAGAUAAGAAGGUAAACAGGGUUUGUCGGGCACUAAUUAUGUUGUAGCACAAAAUACUAAUAAAUAGUAACUCUAAAGAUCCGUUAGGAGCUGGGGAAGGAACUGUAAAUAGCAUACGUCAGCAGAUUAAGCAAAGAGGCACUGUGAUUAUACAGAGAGACUCCAACACCAAACAAUCAAAGGGCGACAUCAAUCACAUACAUGGGAUGGAGGAAGAGAGCACAGACCAUACUUAAAGCAUGUCAUCAGAGAACUAACCAUCUGGAUAGGACAUGAAAAUGCAACUUUUCCUAUUAUUUGCUUUCAUAGAAACCAUCGACACCAACAGCUCAAAGAUCUACUUCUACAUAACAAAUUCAGACAAUAAAAUUAAAAUUGAUCACCAUGGUUACACAUUUCCUAUUAUUUACUUUCGAAGUGUAACACCAUAUUGAGCAAGACUAAGGUAAAAGCAGGAAAGCUUAAAAUUGAUCACCACAAUUACACAAAAGGCGCAUUUUUCCUUCUAUAGGGAACCAAAUAUAGCUCAAUGUAUGAUAAUUAUUUGUUAUUAUAUAUUUAAUCAGCAAAGUCUUGAGAGAGAGGGGGUCUGACCUAUUGAAGGGGCCACAGGAGCAAGGGGUGAGGAGAUGCUCGGAAGCGGCACCGCUAGCCUACAACACCUCAAAGGCUGAAGCCGACCAGCUAGACUCCUGAUGCUCACCCGCCCGCACUUGGUCCUCUUGCCUAUGACACUGUAUAGCAGAAACACAUAAACUUGAUCACACAGAGAUUAGAGCAAGUUUCUUGUUGCAAAAUAAGAGAGCAUAUUCCUAACACACACAAUCGAUGCUAUUCAUUCCCAUCCAGUCGUAUGUGUAUAUGUUUUCACUAUGCGGUUUGAUACACUGAGACUUCACCUCCAAUUCAAGCAUAAUCAUAUGACAAAUGGUAUAGUGAAACUGACUUUGAUUUUCUAAAGCUUGGAGCCUUAAAUAUUUGAAUAAGAGAACAUAAAAAAACAAGUUCACUGAGUAAUCCUGUAUGGAGAUCACAUUAUCUGUCUAGAGAAGUACAACAAAACGGAUUGUGGAGGGAUAACUUCAACACGCAAAUAGUGGCCCUUUGAGCAAAAAUUCUAGAAUCUCUUGAAACAAUUACGUGAGUGCGGUGUAUGCGCAUAACUUACCUUAGCGACAGGUGGAAGAGGCAGUCAGAACUACGCACGGUUGCUCUCCUUCUUCCAACCUUCCUCUUCAGCUUGCCUCCUCUUUUUGUAAGCACUGCCCUGGCCAUGGGGUGAAAAAAAUAAGCAUUUGCUGUAAUAACCUAUGUAAACUUCUUCAAUCCAAAGGACAAACAAAUGUUAUCUUCUUCAUAUGCUUAUAGAAACUGAGGAACAUGUUUAGAGCCGUUGGAAAUAGAAGCAAAUAUAUCUGGACUAUAUCCAGUUGAAAAUAGGAGGACGUGUAGCUUCCAGAAUUUUAAAGCUAGCAGCAUGGAAAAGGGCCAGCCACCACUUGUAUGUUACCGCUGAAUAAAUCUAAAAAAAUUAAUAUAGAAGGUUCAUGCACCUUUUCACACAUAGUUUGGCCCUAUUUAACCAGUACUAAGCAAAAGAGCGUAGAUAUUGCAAUCCAAAUGGAACAUGAGAUUGCAAUACCGAACCUGUUGCCGGACCGGACGGCGGCGAGGAUGCCGGCGUCCUCCCGACAAAUCGCUCUAUGAAUAUUCUACAUUUGUUGUGGUCAUCGGUGUUGAUGGAAAGCAGAGUGGCUUGGAGAGGCACACCACUUUCGACCAUAAAGAGCACUAAAACUUCCGCUAAUAGUAGCAUGCUAACCAGUAAAAUAUAUGCAUACAUUAUAAAUAGUCAAUAUAGAUAAUACUUCAUAUCAUCUAAGAAUAAAAUCCAACAGGUAGGCUUCUCACUAUUAAUCAGUAGGAGAUGGCUACCUCAUAUUUUACUAUUUGUUUACACCUAAAAGUAAAAUAUACGGCUUCUCACUAUUAAUUCAGGAGGCAGGCUGUUCACUGAGAGUUUUUACAAUGUCAAUCAUAGGAUUCAUACCUCUGUAUCGAUGGAAAAUGUAUCGUAAACAUGAUCCCAGUCUUGUUCAGCCACUACAUUGGCUUCCCCUGCAUUUCGAACAGGCACUACAUCGUUAAGCAGCAGAACCACAUAUGCACCAAUAGGAAAUUGAGUUUACUUCAGAUUUUUAAAGAACACUUACAGAGCAUCCGUAGACAUCUUCCUGCAUACACUUCGCCUUCUCAAUGUCAAGCCUACUUUUCCCAUAUCUGAUGCCGAAACCAUGCUUCCGUGAAUAAAGAUUGUAAAAGUCUUUAUUUUUUUCCCACGGAAUCCAAUGUUAGCCCAAUAGUAGCGUGCUCACCCAACUUAUCUGCACACCCCUGAAUCGUUUG